RNAcentral lists this transfer RNA (69 nucleotides) under Xenopus borealis (Kenyan clawed frog). RNAcentral's name for it is "tRNA-Ala". It matches the Rfam family "tRNA". Rfam says of the family: Transfer RNA (tRNA) molecules are approximately 80 nucleotides in length. Their secondary structure includes four short double-helical elements and three loops (D, anti-codon, and T loops). Lineage: Eukaryota; Metazoa; Chordata; Amphibia; Anura; Pipidae. The record is from RNAcentral.
AAGGUUUUAGCUUAAUAAAAGUGUUUGAGUUGCAUUCAAUUGAUGUUGGAUAAAAUCCUGCAAGCCUUA